AACGUUACCAAACUGUUGCCUCGGCGGGGUCACGCCCCGGGUGCGUCGCAGCCCCGGAACCAGGCGCCCGCCGGAGGAACCAACCAAACUCUUUCUGUAGUCCCCUCGCGGACGUAUUUCUUACAGCUCUGAGCAAAAAUUCAAAAUGAAUCAAAACUUUCAACAACGGAUCUCUUGGUUCUGGCAUCGAUGAAGAACGCAGCGAAAUGCGAUAAGUAAUGUGAAUUGCAGAAUUCAGUGAAUCAUCGAAUCUUUGAACGCACAUUGCGCCCGCCAGUAUUCUGGCGGGCAUGCCUGUCCGAGCGUCAUUUCAACCCUCGAACCCCUCCGGGGGAUCGGCGUUGGGGAUCGGGACCCCUCACACGGGUGCCGGCCCCGAAAUACAGUGGCGGUCUCGCCGCAGCCUCUCCUGCGCAGUAGUUUGCACAACUCGCACCGGGAGCGCGGCGCGUCCACGUCCGUAAAACACCCAACUUUCUGAAAUGUUGACCUCGGAUCAGGUAGGAAUACCCGCUGAACUUAAGCAUAUCAAUAA
RNAcentral lists this ribosomal RNA (535 nucleotides) under Trichoderma asperellum. Its description in RNAcentral is "eukaryotic LSU rRNA". The stretch from base 155 to 308 matches the Rfam family "5.8S ribosomal RNA". The record is from RNAcentral. Lineage: Eukaryota; Fungi; Ascomycota; Sordariomycetes; Hypocreales; Hypocreaceae.